UAGGGAAUCUUCGGCAAUGGACGAAAGCCUGUCCGAGCAACGCCGCGCGAGUGAAGAAGGUUUUCGGAUCGUAAAACUCUGUUGUUAGAGAAGAACAAGGACGUUAGUAACUGAACGUCCCCUGACGGUAUCUAACCAGAAAGCCACCGCUAACUACGUGCCAGCAGCCGCGGUAAUACGUAGGUGGCAAGCGUUGUCCGGAUUUAUUGGGCGUAAAGCGAGCGCAGGCGGUUUCUUAAGUCUGAUGUGAAAGCCCCCGGCUCAACCGGGGAGGGUCAUUGGAAACUGGGAGACGUGAGUGCAGAAGAGGAGAGUGGAAUUACGUGUGUAGCGGUGAAAUGCGUAGAUGUAUGGAGGAACACCAGUGGCGAAGGCGGCUCUCUGGUCUGUAACUGACGCUGAGGCUCGAAAGCGUGGGGAGCAAACAGG
RNAcentral lists this ribosomal RNA (429 nucleotides) under Gemmatimonadota bacterium. RNAcentral's name for it is "Gemmatimonadetes bacterium partial 16S ribosomal RNA". It matches the Rfam family "Bacterial small subunit ribosomal RNA", at positions 355 to 776 of the family's 1533-position model. The record is from RNAcentral. Lineage: Bacteria; Pseudomonadati; Gemmatimonadota.